Molecule: ribosomal RNA, 786 nt
Filed under: Triticum aestivum (bread wheat)
Lineage: Eukaryota; Viridiplantae; Streptophyta; Magnoliopsida; Poales; Poaceae
Description: partial small subunit ribosomal RNA
Source: RNAcentral
AUGAAGAUAUUGCUGGAGCUUGGGUCUGCACUGCUCUACCUUCACGAGGAGUGGGAGCAAUGUGUGCUUCACCGGGACAUCAAGCCCAGCAACGUGAUGCUUGACGAGUCCUUUGGAGCCAAGCUAGGCGACUUCGGACUCGCAAGGCUCGUUGACCACGCCGCUGGGAUGCAGACCAUGACUGCAAUCUCGGGAACUCCAGGCUACUUGGAUCCCGAUUGCGUGAACACCGGCAAGGCAAGCGCCGAGUCCGACGUGUACAGCUUCGGCGUGGUUCUACUGGAGGUGGCAUGCGGCAGGAGGCCAAUGAGCCUGGCCAACCAGGACAAGGAGAAGAAUGGCGGCGUCUUCCGGCUGGUCGAGUGGGUCUGGGGACUAUAUGGCCGGGGAUCCAUCCUUGAGGCCACCGACGAGCGGCUGAACGGUGACUACAACACUGCGGAGGUGGAGAGUGUGAUGGUUGUUGGGUUGUGGUGCGCGCACCCAAACCCGAGCGCACGACCAUCCAUCAGGACAGCCCUGGCCACGCUCCAGCCCAAGGUCGACCAAGCCUACCAGCUGCCGGUGCUUCCUUCCAAGAUGCCAGUGCCGAUGUAUGAGCCGUUGAGGCCGCUCUCCUGGGCCAAUAUCAUUGGGACGUCAUCAUCAUCCUCCCACACCGUUGGGAUGUCAUCGUCGACGACGUGGUCCAGCAUGCCGAUGGACACCUCUUGUACCACAACCUCUGAUGCUAGCACUUCGACGAACAGUUCGAAGACCUCUUCUUCACUACUCAAACAUCAGUAG